AUGUACCACUCGUACACUCCGGUUCCUGCGCGCCGCCCGUACUCACCUGACGACCGCUCGCUACGUUUUGUCAGCC
This 76-nucleotide small RNA is filed under the name Xanthomonas hortorum. RNAcentral describes it as "sX9 sRNA". It matches the Rfam family "Xanthomonas sRNA sX9". The record is from RNAcentral. RNAcentral also lists the same sequence under 1 other name. Lineage: Bacteria; Pseudomonadati; Pseudomonadota; Gammaproteobacteria; Lysobacterales; Lysobacteraceae.